Non-coding RNA from Cricetulus griseus (Chinese hamster), 385 nucleotides. Lineage: Eukaryota; Metazoa; Chordata; Mammalia; Rodentia; Cricetidae. The record is from RefSeq and is a predicted model, not a curated record.
GUUUUGAGCAUGGCAAUAGAUAUGGAUAUAUUUGAAGUCUUCUACAUGUCAGCAUCCAGGUACAUCAAAAGAAGAGAAGGCAGAAAAAUGGUCAUAGCCAGAAUACCACAGUCUUCUGUGAAAAAGUAUCAUGUAAUCAUAGCUGCAUAAGCAAGACCAGAACAAUGGCAGCAUCAAUGGACAUACAAAGUGAAAACAGAAAAAAAAAUGCUAGAUUCCAUCCCUAAUCAAAGAAUAACACGACAACUAAUGACUGCUGGGAGAAGGAAAAAUGGCAGCUCCAAUAGUGUGCAAUGUUUCAAUUUUCUUUGAAUUUGUGUCAACACAUUUUAUCAUUUCCUUUAUUCAACUUUUUAUAAAAGAAGUUUGCAGCGAUGUUUCAUAA